This 243-nucleotide ribosomal RNA is filed under the name uncultured bacterium. Its description in RNAcentral is "partial 16S ribosomal RNA". It matches the Rfam family "Bacterial small subunit ribosomal RNA", at positions 524 to 765 of the family's 1533-position model. The record is from RNAcentral.
UACGGAGGGUGCGAGCGUUGUCCGGAAUCACUGGGCGUAAAGGGCGCGUAGGUGGCCUGUGGAAGUCUGCGGUGAAAGCCCGGCGCUCAACGCCGGGUCGGCCGUGGAUACUCUCGGGCUCGAGCUUACUAGAGGCAGAUGGAAUUCCGGGUGUAGCGGUGGAAUGCGUAGAGAUCCGGAAGAACACCGGUGGCGAAGGCGGUCUGCUGGGGUAAUGCUGACACUGAUGCGCGACAGCGUGGG